This is a long non-coding RNA of Dreissena polymorpha, 1942 nucleotides long. RefSeq lists it as uncharacterized. The transcript is spliced from 3 exons. The record is from RefSeq and is a predicted model, not a curated record. NCBI's taxonomy places the organism in Eukaryota, Metazoa, Mollusca, Bivalvia, Myida, Dreissenidae.
AAAUGCAUGUAUCAUUAUAUUUGUAAAAGCCAAGAAUAUUCUGGAUAUUCCUCUUUUUUCAAUUGUUUUGAAUAUCCUCAAGAUUUGAUUUCCUGAAUGUUGAAGAAAACUUAUUAGAUAAUAAUACCACAUAUUUACAACUCACUUUUUUAAUAGAGACCAUAAAUAGUUUUAAAAAGUGGUUUAAAUUGUGUAUUUACUUUUUCAAUAGGAUACAACCAUAAUUAAACCAAGAAGUUUAUGAAGAAGGGAUCACUGGAUUUUGUCACUUUGGUACAAGAAACAGAAAAGGAUAUCAUAGACCACCUUACUUAUACGGAAGCAUAGGAGCUGUUGAAGGAAAUUGCUGCCAGACAGUCAACAGUUAUCACUGACAGCCUGUCCUGGCCCAGCUGGGACCAUCCUCAAGCUAACCAUGAUGAUGUGUUUGCAAGAAUUGUCCAUUUGGUAGAACAUGAUGAAGACGAGCUUUGUUGUAGCAUGGCCUGACAAUACUGUACAAGCCAGAGACCAAAAAAGGGUUAAGUGGUGACUGAUCCUCUCAUCCUCCUUAUCCAGGAAACGUUUUGGAACAACGUGUUGGCACUGAAGAUGUGGAGGACACAGAUUGAUCUCAGUACAUCCUUUGGAUACAUGGACACCUUCAAAGGGACGACAACAAAACUGUACCUGCCUUUUUUUUGAAAGGAAGUAGUUAAUACAAUUAUUGUUAACAGCUUUUUUAGUCUUGUUGUUUAAGAAUGCUUUCAACAUUUAAGUGGAUAAACGGUUGUUUUAAAUUUGAAUCUUCAGUAAUGCAUUCUUUAUUAAAUGAUGUAAUCUUAUUUCUUUCAAUAUAGCGUAAAUAAUAAGAACAUAAUUAUCCUUUGUAUACAAAAUGAAAACCAAGUUUACUGUUCUAUUAAUCAUUAUUUAUUUAUCUUGUUCUUUUGUCAGAAAUAUUACAGGGGCAUACAUACAGUAUUCCUUAAAUAAAAGGGGCAGUUCUUAGAAAAUUAACAUGUAUUUUAGCAAUGCAUAUUCAAACUUUUUCCACAUUUAUAACCAGCAACAAUAUGUAAGUAUUAUAAUGUAACACAAAUUAAUACUAUGAAUUUACUACUGAUUUUGCCGUGCCUGUCAUCAAAUAAACAUGUUCUACUGAAAGUUUCUUAAAAGAUGUUAUGUGGAAGACUUAAUCAAUCAUUUAAUAAAUAUUUGAGCCUUGCUCUGGGAAAAGGGGGUUUAAUGCAUGUACUUAAUGUUGUCCAAGAUUAGGCUGUGCAGACUGCACAGGCUAAUCAGGGGCAACACUUUCCGCCUUAUCUGGAUUUUCUCUAAGAGACUCCCUUUCAACAAAAAAUACAAUAAAGCAGCAAUUGUCUGCCUGAUUGGUAUGAUCAGCACAGGUUAAUCUCGUACGACAAUUUACGCACUUGCAUUAAGCCCCAUUUUCACAGGGCAAGGCUCACCUAUUUAGGUUUUAGCUGUCUAUAUGCUCUUUAACUUUUGAAUCAUGAUGCAGUUUCAUAUAAUAAUGUAUUAUGAGUCGUUUUUAAUUGAUUCCACUGGGGGCUGACGAGGUCAAAGAGUAGUCCGUUUCGCUACGACGUCGGGUAUAUGUUUUACUACAAAAACAUUGUUAAAAUACACAUGAAAUCGAAAACGGAGUAAUAGAAAAUUGUGUUUAAAACAUGUAAGAUUAUGCUUUUCUUCUAACAAAACUCUGAAUUUAAGCACAAUGACAUUUCAUAGGUCUGUUUCAUUAAAUUAUAAUCCAAGAUGUGUCUGGUUUAUGCGGUUAAACAUGAAAUAUACCGCUGAUUUAUCAAACCGAAGUCAAGUUUCACUUUAAAAAAAGCAAUUUAGGUUUACAACUGUGUUUAAUGACACAAUUUUACAAUUUCCAAAUUUAUCUAUGUAUCGUUAAGCCACUGGUGUGUUUAGAAAUAUGUAGGGUGAC